This 245-nucleotide ribosomal RNA is filed under the name uncultured bacterium. RNAcentral's name for it is "partial small subunit ribosomal RNA". It matches the Rfam family "Bacterial small subunit ribosomal RNA", at positions 26 to 285 of the family's 1533-position model. The record is from RNAcentral.
AGAAUCAACGCUGGCGGCGUGCCUAACACAUGCAAGUCGAACGAGAAAGUGGAGCAAUCCAUGAGUACAGUGGCGUACGGGUGAGUAACACGUGACUAACCUACCCUCGAGUGGGGAAUAACCUCGGGAAACCGGGGCUAAUACCGCAUAACAUCUUCGGAUCAAAUGCGUAAGCAGCUUGAGGAGGGGGUCGCGGCCGAUUAGCUAGUUGGCGGGGUAAUGGCCCACCAAGGCAAUGAUCGGUA